AACGCGAAGAACCUUACCCACCUUUGACAUGUACGGAACUUGCCAGAGAUGGCUUGGUGCUCGAAAGAGAACCGUAACACAGGUGCUGCAUGGCUGUCGUCAGCUCGUGUCGUGAGAUGUUGGGUUAAGUCCCGCAACGAGCGCAACCCUUGCCAUUAGUUGCUACGAAAGGGCACUCUAAUGGGACUGCCGGUGACAAACCGGAGGAAGGUGGGGAUGACGUCAAGUCCUCAUGGCCCUUAUAGGUGGGGCUACACACGUCAUACAAUGGCUGGUACAGAGGGUUGCCAACCCGCGAGGGGGAGCCAAUCCCAUAAAGCCAGUCGUAGUCCGGAUCGCAGUCUGCAACUCGACUGCGUGAAGUCGGAAUCGCUAGUAAUCGCGGAUCAGAAUGUCGCGGUGAAUACGUUCCCGGGCCUUGUACACACCG
RNAcentral lists this ribosomal RNA (430 nucleotides) under uncultured Flavobacteriaceae bacterium. RNAcentral's name for it is "bacterial SSU rRNA". It matches the Rfam family "Bacterial small subunit ribosomal RNA", at positions 958 to 1392 of the family's 1533-position model. The record is from RNAcentral. Lineage: Bacteria; Pseudomonadati; Bacteroidota; Flavobacteriia; Flavobacteriales; Flavobacteriaceae.